ACUUUCGCCGGUCCCAAGCCCGGAUAAAGGAGGAGGGUUGGAAUUAUGAUGUUUGAAAAACAAGAAUCAUCUGAAGAAAGUUAAUUUGAAGUUCUAAACAUUUCUUUUUUUUAAAUCACUUUUUGUCCCUCCCACAACAUGAUUCCUCUCUCCGGAAAUAGCGGCCAUCUUGAAAAGAUGGCAGCCAUGUUUGCUGCAUUUUUUCUCAAACAGACAAUAAAAAUAAGAAAAUAAUCUUAUAAUCAAGAAACCACACAGGCGGAAUUACCGAAUUCUGAAGAAAUUCAACCACUUCUGCACAGAAAAAUGAAAAAGACAAUAAUGGAAUAGCAGAUUUUGCUGAUGUUUUAUGGACCGGUUCAUCCAAGGCUCUUGGCAGAUCGUGGGAGGUGCUAAUGG
Centropristis striata (black sea bass) is the source of this 399-nucleotide long non-coding RNA. RefSeq lists it as uncharacterized. Lineage: Eukaryota; Metazoa; Chordata; Actinopteri; Perciformes; Serranidae. The record is from RefSeq and is a predicted model, not a curated record. The transcript is spliced from 3 exons.